UGCCAUCUGUUUCUCAUAGAAGCCAUCUGAGAGGUAUAAAGCUGAAUUAAAUAAUUUAAAUCUCAAACAUGAAAGAUUACUUGCAUUUUAAAAUGUAACAAAUUUGUUUUCAAAAACCUGCUUUCAAUAACCAACUUCAUGGACUAGACAUGUCUAGUAACAAAGCAUUCAUUUACCAAGUCUGUUGAGACCUCUUCUACCUGUCCUAGAAAACUUUCAUUUGAUUUAGUUGGCUGAAAAACUCACUGCAGGGAUCUACCUUUGAGACAACAUAAAUAUAUUGUUCCUAAAUUUUAUUUCAUAAACUAUGAUUUAAAGCACUUAUCCUGAAGAAAAGAGACCAGUUGAAUUCCCUUUUCAGCCUUGAAGGGAUUUAAACCCUGAAUGUUUCCAUGGCUGGUAACAAUCCAAACCAAAAGCCUAUUGUUUGGGUCAGGUGAGGAGAACCACUUUAGACAAUUACAGCCCAAAUCUUAUGAGCGAGGUCUGCAACAAGGUACAAGGUGUGCUUGGAACUUUCCCUUCUGGCUCUCCAUGUGAGUGGGUGGUGAGGCUGCAUUCCAAAACAGUUGGUUAGUUCACAGCUGUCCUAUCCCAAUCUGAUGUUUUACUGUGCAGAAACACAAUAUUUUCUCCUCUAUCACAUAUGAGUAAAUCUUUUUGCUGUACAACUGGCCAUUUUUAGUGAGAACAAGGCAAGAUAAUCCUCUCUGGUUUUUUUUCAUUCCAGAAUGACCUGUGGGAAGCAUAGUCUUUAACAGACAGUGUUGGGCCUUUGAGAUUUUCAGGGCUAACAAAGGCAAAUCACAUAUGAUCUUGACAGUCUUUGAAGUUCUAUAAUAGUCAGAGCACAAUUUGUAGCUCUUCUGGCAGCCACCAAGUAAUUUCACACAGACAUGCUAGAAGGCCUGGCUACGUAUUCCUGUGCUACAUAUGGAGUGGGCAACAGUGCCCUGCACUUGGAAGACCCAGCAGAUGAGGUCUGUCUCAUCAAGGUCAAAGCCCUUGCAGAGUCAUACAGUUCAGCCAGUUCCUCUGAGGUGUCUCUAGAUGAACAUUUGGAUCAGUUCUGUAGCUCAGAAGAAACCAGGGCCAAUUUUUGUACCCCUGAGAUUUUCUCCUAAGUGCAAACAACGUUUUAAUGCUGCUUAGAUGUGAAUAGUUUCUACAGAGAAUAUUUUCAUCUUUUAUGCUGCUACAAACCAACAAACAGAACAUGAUACUGGACACAGUGUUGCUACAUAUCCUUUCACAUUUCUUCAUAAUUGCUGAUUAUUUUUACAGUGUUACAUAACUGUACUUCGGAUCACAGCUAGCAUUACAAGGCUGGAACCCUAUGAUUCUGUAACAGCUUCAGGUUGUGCCAUCUCUCCAGUAAUCCCUUCUCCCUUCUACUCGUGAUGUGAAAACACCUGGACCAGGCAGAGAAAUUGUUCAGAAUUGUAUUGUACAAACAACAAUAUCAGAGUUAUGUGAUUCAGUAACUUUCCUCAGGACACCAGUGAUUAUUCUGUCCUCAUUUUGGGGAUUGCUGUGCUGACUAGAACAGUAACAGUAAUAACAAUUAACAACGUAUUUUAAUUUGAGGUAGGUGAGAAAGAAAUAUAGAAAGAAGGAAAAUAAAAAGAAGAAAGUUUUAAAAAUUUGUCA
This 1650-nucleotide long non-coding RNA is filed under the name Cyanistes caeruleus (blue tit). Its description in RNAcentral is "lncRNA (ENSCCEG00000010701.1)". The record is from RNAcentral. Lineage: Eukaryota; Metazoa; Chordata; Aves; Passeriformes; Paridae.